CAACCUGCCCACCACUUGGGGAUAACCUUGCGAAAGUAAGACUAAUACCCAAUGAUAUCUCUAGAAGACAUCUGAAAGAGAUUAAAGAUUUAUCGGUGAUGGAUGGGGAUGCGUCUGAUUAGCUUGUUGGCGGGGUAACGGCCCACCAAGGCAACGAUCAGUAGGGGUUCUGAGAGGAAGGUCCCCCACAUUGGAACUGAGACACGGUCCAAACUCCUACGGGAGGCAGCAGUGAGGAAUAUUGGUCAAUGGACGAGAGUCUGAACCAGCCAAGUAGCGUGCAGGAUGACGGCCCUAUGGGUUGUAAACUGCUUUUAUAAGGGAAUAAAGUGAGUCUCGUGAGACUUUUUGCAUGUACCUUAUGAAUAAGGACCGGCUAAUUCCGUGCCAGCAGCCGCGGUAAUACGGAAGGUCCGGGUGUUAUCCGGAUUUAUUGGGUUUAAGGGGAGCGUAGGCCGGAGAUUAAGCGUGUUGUGAAAUGUAGACGCUCAACGUCUGCACUGCAGCGCGAACUGGUUUCCUUGAGUACGCACAAAGUGGGCGGAAUUCGUGGUGUAGCGGUGAAAUGCUUAGAUAUCACGAAGAACUCCGAUUG
RNAcentral lists this ribosomal RNA (595 nucleotides) under uncultured Bacteroidota bacterium. RNAcentral's name for it is "bacterial SSU rRNA". It matches the Rfam family "Bacterial small subunit ribosomal RNA", at positions 122 to 715 of the family's 1533-position model. The record is from RNAcentral. Lineage: Bacteria; Pseudomonadati; Bacteroidota.